RNAcentral lists this ribosomal RNA (714 nucleotides) under human gut metagenome. Its description in RNAcentral is "bacterial SSU rRNA". It matches the Rfam family "Bacterial small subunit ribosomal RNA", at positions 682 to 1396 of the family's 1533-position model. The record is from RNAcentral.
UGGAAUGUAUAGAUAUCGAGAAGAACACCUAUAGCGAAGGCAGUCAUCUGGGCAUUUAUCGACGCUGAAUCACGAAAGCUGGGGGAGCAAACAGGCUUAGAUACCCUGGUAGUCCCAGCCGUAAACGUUGCACACUAGGUGCUCCUAUUAAAAUAGGCGUGCCGUAGCUAACGUCUUAAGUGUGCCGCCUGAGGAGUAUGCCCGCAAGGGUGAAACUCAAAGAAAUUGACGGGUCCCCGCACAAGUGGUGGAGCAUGUGGUUUAAUUCGAUGAUACGCGAAAAACCUUACCUGGGUUUGAAUUGUUAGAUGAAUGAUAUAGAGAUAUGUCAGACCGCAAGGACAUUUAACAUAGGUGCUGCAUGGCUGUCGUCAGCUCGUGUCGUGAGAUGUUGGGUUAAGUCCCGCAACGAGCGCAACCCUUACCCUUUGUUGCUACCGAGUAAUGUCGGGCACUCUUAGGGGACCGCCUACGUUUAAGUAGGAGGAAGGUGGGGAUGAUGUCAAGUCCUCAUGGCCCUUAUGUCCAGGGCUACACACGUGCUACAAUGGCAACUACAAAGAGAAGCGAGACCGCGAGGUGGAGCAAAUCUCAAAAAAGUUGCCUCAGUUCGGAUUGGAGUCUGAAACUCGACUCCAUGAAGUUGGAAUCACUAGUAAUCGUAGAUCAGAACGCUACGGUGAAUACGUUCCCGGGGAUUGUACACACCGCCCG